Molecule: ribosomal RNA, 253 nt
Filed under: uncultured bacterium
Lineage: Bacteria
Description: partial 16S ribosomal RNA
Rfam family: Bacterial small subunit ribosomal RNA
Source: RNAcentral
UACGUAGGUGGCAAGCGUUGUCCGGAAUUACUGGGCGUAAAGAGCGCGCAGGCGGUUGUUUAAGUCGAAUGUGAAAGCCCCCGGCUCAACUGGGGAGGGUCAUUCGAUACUGAUCGACUUGAAGGCAGGAGAGGGAAGUGGAAUUCCGGGUGUAGUGGUGAAAUGCGUAGAUAUCCGGAGGAACACCAGUGGCGAAGGCGACUUCCUGGCCUGUUCUUGACGCUGAGGCGCGGAAGCUGGGGGAGCAAACGGG